This is a long non-coding RNA of Trematomus bernacchii (emerald rockcod), 306 nucleotides long. RefSeq lists it as uncharacterized. NCBI's taxonomy places the organism in Eukaryota, Metazoa, Chordata, Actinopteri, Perciformes, Nototheniidae. The record is from RefSeq and is a predicted model, not a curated record. The transcript is spliced from 3 exons.
CAAUAAAGUCCAUGCAAUGUCAGUACUGCUUCAGCUGAAGGAAGCGACUGAAUGGAAAACUCUGUGACUGAAGACAUCCAAGGAAAAGAUGAUCUUCCUCAUCCUGCUGCUCCUCUUCCUCACCCCCUGUGUCUCUGAAACGCUGCACGGCUGAAGGAGGCAGCGAUCAGUCUGAUGAGGAGCGUGCACGAGGCGGGCGUGCACGUACUGUAUGGACUACGUGGGGGUGGACCCCAAAAGGAUGAAGGCCCUGAGGAGCACCAGAGAAGCAUGGUGCGCGCACACACACACACACACACACACACA